UCGNNCGGCAGCACAGGAGAGCUUGCUCUCUGGGUGGCGAGUGGCGGACGGGUGAGGAAUACAUCGGAAUCUACUCUGUCGUGGGGGAUAACGUAGGGAAACUUACGCUAAUACCGCAUACGACCUACGGGUGAAAGUGGGGGACCGCAAGGCCUCACGCGAUUGAAUGAGCCGAUGUCGGAUUAGCUAGUUGGCGGGGUAAAGGCCCACCAAGGCGACGAUCCGUAGCUGGUCUGAGAGGAUGAUCAGCCACACUGGAACUGAGACACGGUCCAGACUCCUACGGGAGGCAGCAGUGGGGAAUAUUGGACAAUGGGCGCAAGCCUGAUCCAGCCAUACCGCGUGAGUGAAGAAGGCCCUCGGGUUGUAAAGCUCUUUUGUUGGGAAAGAAAUCCUGUCGGUUAAUACCUGGCAGGGAUGACGGUACCCAAAGAAUAAGCACCGGCUAACUUCGUGCCAGCAGCCGCGGUAAUACGAAGGGUGCAAGCGUUACUCGGAAUUACUGGGCGUAAAGCGUGCGUAGGUGGUUGUUUAAGUCUGUCGUGAAAGCCCUGGGCUCAACCUGGGAAUUGCGAUGGAUACUGGGCAACUAGAGUGUGGUAGAGGGUGGCGGAAUUCCCGGUGUAGCAGUGAAAUGCGUANAGAUCGGGANGAACAUCCGUGGCGAAGGCGGCCACCUGGGCCAACACUGACACUGANGCACGAAAGCGUGGGGAGCAAACAGGANUAGAUACCCUGGUAGUNCCACNCCCUAAACGAUGCGAACUGGAUGUUGGGUUCAACUUGNNCCCA
Molecule: ribosomal RNA, 792 nt
Filed under: Pseudoxanthomonas sp.
Lineage: Bacteria; Pseudomonadati; Pseudomonadota; Gammaproteobacteria; Lysobacterales; Lysobacteraceae
Description: bacterial SSU rRNA
Rfam family: Bacterial small subunit ribosomal RNA
Source: RNAcentral